This 254-nucleotide ribosomal RNA is filed under the name uncultured bacterium. RNAcentral's name for it is "partial 16S ribosomal RNA". It matches the Rfam family "Bacterial small subunit ribosomal RNA", at positions 524 to 776 of the family's 1533-position model. The record is from RNAcentral.
UACGGGGGGGGGCAAGCGUUGUUCGGAAUUACUGGGCGUAAAGGGCUCGUAGGCGGCCAACUAAGUCAGACGUGAAAUCCCUCGGCUUAACCGAGGAACUGCCGUCCAAACUGCUUCGCUUGAGACCGGGAGAGGUGAGUGGAAUUCCCAGUGUAGCGGUGAAAUGCGUAGAUAUUGGGAGGAACACCAGUGGCGAAGGCGGCUCACUGGACCGGUACUGACGCUGAUGCGCGAAAGCGUGGGGAGCGAACAGG